UACACAAACAUAGACACCAAUGUGAGUUGC
This 30-nucleotide non-coding RNA is filed under the name Homo sapiens (human). Lineage: Eukaryota; Metazoa; Chordata; Mammalia; Primates; Hominidae. The record is from RNAcentral.